AAUAUUGCACAAUGGGCGAAAGCCUGAUGCAGCGACGCCGCGUGAGGGAUGAAGGCCUUCGGGUUGUAAACCCCUUUCAGUAGGGAAGAAGCGAAAGUGACGGUAACUGCAGAAGAAGCGCAGGCCAACUAAGUGCCAGCAGCCGCGGUAAUACGUAGGGCGCAAGCGUUGUCCGGAAUUAUUGGGCGUAAAGGGCUCGUAGGCGGUUUGUCGCGUCUGGUGUGAAAACUCAGGGCCCAACCUUGAGCUUGCAUCGGGUACGGGCAGACUAGAGUGUGGUAGGGGUGACUGGAAUUCCUGGUGUAGCGGUGGAAUGCGCAGAUAUCAGGAGGAACACCGAUGGCGAAGGCAGGUCACUGGGCCACUACUGACGCUGAGGAGCGAAAGCAUGGGGAGCGAAC
Molecule: ribosomal RNA, 401 nt
Filed under: uncultured bacterium
Lineage: Bacteria
Description: partial 16S ribosomal RNA
Rfam family: Bacterial small subunit ribosomal RNA
Source: RNAcentral